Long non-coding RNA from Bos taurus (domestic cattle), 946 nucleotides. The record is from Ensembl. NCBI's taxonomy places the organism in Eukaryota, Metazoa, Chordata, Mammalia, Artiodactyla, Bovidae.
CUUCAUGGUCAGCAGAUUCUUUCCUGUCUGCUGCUGCUAAGUUGCUUCAGUUGUGUCCAACUCUGUGAGACCCCAUAGAUGGCAGCCCCCCAGGCUCCUCUGUCCCUGGGAUUCUCCAGGCAAGAACACUGGAGUGGGUUGCCAUUUCCUUCUCCAAUGCAUGAAAGUGAAAAGUGAAAGUGAAGUCUCUCAGUCGUGUCCGAAUCUUCGCGACCCCAUGGACUGCAGCCUACCAGGCUCCUCCGUCCAUGGGAUUUUCCAGGCAAGAGUACUGGAGUGGGUUGCCAUUAGUUACUGUCUGAGCCACCUUAAUAAUAACAUGAAAGAGCAGGGGUCCUUCAUCUCCCUCUAAGGUGCCCCAAACUGACACACUCACCUGCUCUACAACCACUGGUGGACGUUUGUGCAGAAAGUGCAAGUCUCUCAGUUGUGUCUGACUCUUUGUGACCCCAUGGACUAUACAGUCCAUGGAGUUCUCCAGGACAGAAUACUGGAGUGGGUAGCCUUUCCCUUCUCCAGGGGAAUCUUCCCAACAGGAGCAGGACUUUACCGCAUGUUGGUCACGACCCAGAACACAUGGUUCUGGAAGCCCCGCGGCCAGGUGGCAUCAGCAGAUGGUUGGAAUGGUUUCUGAGCUGGGAGGUGGCUGGCUCUGGACUCCUGUGGCUGCACCAGGAACCAGAGGCAGAAGAGGCUCAGCUAAGCAUAUCACCGGCCGGCCGGAGAGACGGCGACAGACAUCGGCCUCAUCCAUGCCAGUCUGGCUGUUACUCCGCCAAUUGAUUGUCUGAUUAAAACUCGGCAUGCUCACUUGAAAUGGGACAUUGACCCCCCAAAGACAUACUGUUCAGAAGGCGUGUUAGGGUCAGGGCUGGCCUGGAGCCCCACCGUUUCUGACAACAGGGUCUGUUCUGUCCUCUGAACUUUCCAUAAAUAGAAAUCUGUC